This 393-nucleotide ribosomal RNA is filed under the name uncultured bacterium. Its description in RNAcentral is "bacterial SSU rRNA". It matches the Rfam family "Bacterial small subunit ribosomal RNA", at positions 28 to 424 of the family's 1533-position model. The record is from RNAcentral.
GACGAACGCUGGCGGCGUGCUUAACACAUGCAAGUCGAGCGGUAAGGCCCUUUCGGGGGUACACGAGCGGCGAACGGGUGAGUAACACGUGGGUGACCUGCCCUUAGCUCUGGGAUAAGCCUGGGAAACCGGGUCUAAUACCGGAUAUGACUCCGCGGCGCAUGUUGUGGGGUGGAAAGCCUUGUGCGGCUGGAGAUGGGCCCGCGGCCUAUCAGCUUGUUGGUGGGGUGAUGGCCUACCAAGGCGACGACGGGUAGCCGGCCUGAGAGGGCGACCGGCCACACUGGGACUGAGACACGGCCCAGACUCCUACGGGAGGCAGCAGUGGGGAAUCUUGCGCAAUGGGCGAAAGCCUGACGCAGCGACGCCGCGUGAGGGAUGACGGCCUCGGUU